UGGGGAAUUUUGGACAAUGGGCGCAAGCCUGAUCCAGCAAUGCCGCGUGCAGGAUGAAGGCCUUCGGGUUGUAAACUGCUUUUGUACGGAACGAAACGGCUCUGUCUAAUACAUGGGGCUAAUGACGGUACCGUAAGAAUAAGCACCGGCUAACUACGUGCCAGCAGCCGCGGUAAUACGUAGGGUGCAAGCGUUAAUCGGAAUUACUGGGCGUAAAGCGUGCGCAGGCGGUUCUGCAAGUCUGAUGUGAAAGCCCCGGGCUUAACCUGGGAACAGCAUUGGAGACUGCAGAGCUAGAGUACGUCAGAGGGGGGUAGAAUUCCACGUGUAGCAGUGAAAUGCGUAGAUAUGCGGAGGAACACCGAUGGCGAAGGCAAUCCCCUGGACCUGUACUGACGCUCAUGUACGAAAGCGUGGGGAGCAAACA
This 427-nucleotide ribosomal RNA is filed under the name uncultured bacterium. RNAcentral's name for it is "bacterial SSU rRNA". It matches the Rfam family "Bacterial small subunit ribosomal RNA", at positions 355 to 774 of the family's 1533-position model. The record is from RNAcentral.